AUUGAACGCUGGCGGCAGGCCUAACACAUGCAAGUCGAGCGGAUGAAGGGAGCUUGCUCCUGGAUUCAGCGGCGGACGGGUGAGUAAUGCCUAGGAAUCUGCCUGGUAGUGGGGGAUAACGUCCGGAAACGGGCGCUAAUACCGCAUACGUCCUGAGGGAGAAAGUGGGGGAUCUUCGGACCUCACGCUAUCAGAUGAGCCUAGGUCGGAUUAGCUAGUUGGUGGGGUAAAGGCCUACCAAGGCGACGAUCCGUAACUGGUCUGAGAGGAUGAUCAGUCACACUGGAACUGAGACACGGUCCAAACUCCUACGGGAGGCAGCGGUGGGGAAUAUUGGACAAUGGGCGAAAGCCUGAUCCAGCCAUGCCGCGUGUGUGAAGAAGGUCUUCGGAUUGUAAAGCACUUUAAGUUGGGAGGAAGGGCAGUAAGUUAAUACCUUGCUGUUUUGACGUUACCAACAGAAUAAGCACCGGCUAACUUCGU
This 483-nucleotide ribosomal RNA is filed under the name uncultured bacterium. RNAcentral describes it as "partial 16S ribosomal RNA". It matches the Rfam family "Bacterial small subunit ribosomal RNA", at positions 30 to 506 of the family's 1533-position model. The record is from RNAcentral.